CACGUAGGGGGCGAGCGUUGUCCGGAAUCAUUGGGCGUAAAGAGCUCGUAGGCGGUUCGGUAAGUCGGGUGUGAAACCUCCAGGCUCAACCUGGAGACGCCACCCGAUACUGCUGUGACUAGAGUCCAGUAGGGGAGCGUGGAAUUCCUGGUGUAGCGGUGAAAUGCGCAGAUAUCAGGAGGAACACCAGCGGCGAAGGCGGCGCUCUGGGCUGGAACUGACGCUGAGGAGCGAAAGCUAGGGGAGCAAACGGG
Molecule: ribosomal RNA, 254 nt
Filed under: uncultured bacterium
Lineage: Bacteria
Description: partial 16S ribosomal RNA
Rfam family: Bacterial small subunit ribosomal RNA
Source: RNAcentral